RNAcentral lists this ribosomal RNA (762 nucleotides) under Prevotella melaninogenica. RNAcentral describes it as "bacterial SSU rRNA". It matches the Rfam family "Bacterial small subunit ribosomal RNA", at positions 28 to 776 of the family's 1533-position model. Lineage: Bacteria; Pseudomonadati; Bacteroidota; Bacteroidia; Bacteroidales; Prevotellaceae. The record is from RNAcentral.
GAUGAACGCUGGCUACAGGCUUAACACAUGCAAGUCGUGGGGAAACGGCAUUAUGUGCUUGCACAUUCUGGACGUCGACCGGCGCACGGGUGAGUAUCGCGUAUCCAACCUGCCCCUUACUUGGGGAUACCCCGUUGAAAGACGGCCUAAUACCCGAUGUGUUUCAUUGACGGCAUCCGAUAUGAAACAAAGGUUUUUCCGGUAAGGGAUGGGGAUGCGUCUGAUUAGCUAGUUGGCGGGGCAACGGCCCACCAAGGCGACGAUCAGUAGGGGUUCUGAGAGGAAGGUCCCCCACAUUGGAACUGAGACACGGUCCAAACUCCUACGGGAGGCAGCAGUGAGGAAUAUUGGUCAAUGGGCGAGAGCCUGAACCAGCCAAGUAGCGUGCAGGAAGACGGCCCUAUGGGUUGUAAACUGCUUUUGUAUGGGGAUAAAGUCAAUCACGUGUGAUUGUUUGCAGGUACCAUACGAAUAAGGACCGGCUAAUUCCGUGCCAGCAGCCGCGGUAAUACGGAAGGUCCGGGCGUUAUCCGGAUUUAUUGGGUUUAAAGGGAGCGUAGGCCGGAGAUUAAGUGUGUUGUGAAAUGUAGACGCUCAACGUCUGACUUGCAGCGCAUACUGGUUUCCUUGAGUACGCACAACGUUGGCGGAAUUCGUCGUGUAGCGGUGAAAUGCUUAGAUAUGACGAAGAACUCCGAUUGCGAAGGCAGCUGACGGGAGCGCCACUGACGCUUAAGCUCGAAGGUGCGGGUAUCGAACAGG